GACAGAGGGGGCAAGCGUUGUCCGGACUGACUGGGCGUAAAGGGCGCGCAGGCGGAGCAAGGCGUCGAUGCUGAAAUCGGGCCGCUUAACGGCCCGCGGCGUGUCGAUACGCUUGCUCUGGAGCGCGGGCGAGGGUGGUGGAAUUGCCGGUGUAGUGGUGAAAUGCGUAGAGAUCGGCAGGAACACCCGUGGCGCAAGCGGCCACCUAGCCCGUAGCUGACGCUGAGGCGCGACAGCGUGGGGAGCGAACUGG
RNAcentral lists this ribosomal RNA (253 nucleotides) under uncultured bacterium. RNAcentral's name for it is "partial 16S ribosomal RNA". It matches the Rfam family "Bacterial small subunit ribosomal RNA", at positions 524 to 776 of the family's 1533-position model. The record is from RNAcentral.